AUGUUCGAGUAUCUAAAUGUUGUCAGCAAGAUGUUUGAUAGUGAGGCUGAAGGCUAUGAAUUCUACAACAAAUAUGCUCUUGAAAAAGGUUUUAGUGUGAGGAGAAGCUACGUUGAGUGGGAUGGAUCCAACAAAUACAUAAUUUUAAGGAAAAUUGUGUGUAGUCGUCAAGGGUUUCGCGAAGAGAAGCACAUGAAAAGAAAGAUGGAAGAUAGAAAGAGGAGGCCACGAAGUUUAACUCGUGUUGGGUGCAAUGCUAAAUUGGUCAUUACGAGACAGGAGGAAACCGGUCGGUGGUUUGUCAAGGAUUUCAUCGAUGAGCACAGCCAUCCUCUAGCCCCACGGGAUCUUUCUUGUCUGCUGCGUUCGCACAGACGAAUUAGCGAUGAGCAGAAAGCGGACAUUGCGGACAUGGAAAAAUGUGGGAUCCGCAAAUACCGUAUUAUGGAUAUUUUGUGCUUUCAAUACGGUGGAUUUGAUAAGGUUGGAUGCAUAAAGAGGGACAUUUAUAAUUUCUGCCAUGCUAAUAAGCAGGAGACAAUCAGUGCCGGUGAUGCUAAUACGGUGAUCAUGCACAUGAUGGCGAGGCGAGAGCGAGAUGUGGAUUUUUUCUUCAAGUACUUGGUAGACGAGCAUGGCCAUCUGAAGGGACUGUUCUGGGCUGAUAGUCAAUCGCGACUUGACUACGAGGCUUUCGGAGACGUCAUUGUUUUCGAUAGCACAUACAGAACCAACAAAUACAAUCUGCCAUUCGUGCCGUUUGUCGGGUUGAAUCACCACCGCAGCACUGUUAUUUUUGGCUGUGGUAUAAUUUCUCAUGAAACAGGCCAGGCAUACGAGUGGAUGUUGCGGACCUUUUCUGAUUGCAUGGCACAGAAGCAUCCGAUAUCUGUGAUCACAGAUGGGGACCUUGCAAUGCAGAGAGCAAUCAGGGUGGUCUGGCCAGACUCAAACCAUAGACUAUGUAUAUGGCACAUUCAGCAGAACAUUGUACGCCAUCUGCAUGAUGACGACGUAAAGGAGGAAUUCAGAUCUUUCAUUUAUGAUACUUCUUUCAUUGAAGAGCAUGAGAUAGAAUGGAUACACUUCUUACAACGGAAUAAAGUAACCAGUGAGGAGUCUUGGCUGCAUCAGAUGUAUCAGAUGAGAAAGUUGUGGUGUGCUCCAUAUCUUGAGGGGCGUUGUUUCCUAGGAUUGAGCAGCAAUCAGAGGAGUGAGAGCUUGAACUCUGUGCUACAUACGCAUCUUGAGGGUAAGAUGUCGUUGUUUGAAAUGCUAGAGCACUAUGAGCGUUGCCUUGCGUCGCGACGGAUUAACGAAGCUCUCCAAGACGUCGAAGCCUUGCAGUCCGUUCCAUUUACAGAGGAAAAUGCUUCGCCGCUUGAGAAACACGCCGCAACAGUUUUCACACCUAGUGUCUUUAAGAUGGUCUUAUGGAGCAUAGAUGCUGUCAGCAAAUGUCAGAUCAGAGAGAUACUAGAUGGAUCAGAAGAUUCCACUUAUGUUGUGUCCAAGCAGGAAAGAAUGGAUAAAAAGUUUGGAGUGCGCAUUGAAGAGCAAGGAGGUCUUUUGCACAGGGUGAGUUGUUCUUGCCGUAAGCUGGAAUGCGCAGGCACACCAUGUUCCCACAUUUUUUACAUAUUGGGGAUUUUAAAACAAACAAUUCUGCCCAGUUGUUGCGUUCUCACUAGGUGGACUAUGAAUGCAAAAUGUGCAUACGCACCUACCCAAAAAAACCAGAUGUAUGACUAUUCGGUAAGCCUGCAGAGGUAUCGCGAGUUGCGGAAUUGUAGUCACGCCGCAAGUUUCAAGGCAUGCCACUCUGAUGAGGACUAUCACCGUCUAAAGAUGCUUUUGGAAGCACAACAUCAUGGCAAGCAAUCAAGUUUUGAACAAGCUGACAGCAAGGAGUCAACUAAUGCUCAGCAUAACAGCAUUAGGUUUGGCCCGUUGAUGCCGCACUCGGAGAAAGUUGAUAAGGUUCUGGAUCCCGUGCAUGUGCCAGGCCGAGGUACACCGAAGAAAAGGCUGCAGGCAAAGACAAAGAAGUCAAGAUCACAGAAUAUGUGUGGCUAUUGCAAGAAUCCUGGUCACAAUCGACGUAAAUGC
Molecule: ribosomal RNA, 2109 nt
Filed under: Triticum aestivum (bread wheat)
Lineage: Eukaryota; Viridiplantae; Streptophyta; Magnoliopsida; Poales; Poaceae
Description: partial small subunit ribosomal RNA
Source: RNAcentral